This 423-nucleotide ribosomal RNA is filed under the name Dendropsophus cf. mathiassoni ABGD cluster 82. Its description in RNAcentral is "partial large subunit ribosomal RNA". It matches the Rfam family "Bacterial large subunit ribosomal RNA", at positions 1835 to 2457 of the family's 2925-position model. Lineage: Eukaryota; Metazoa; Chordata; Amphibia; Anura; Hylidae. The record is from RNAcentral.
CUUGACAUACAUAAGAGGUCCAGCCUGCCCAGUGACUAAGUUCAACGGCCGCGGUAUCCUAACCGUGCGAAGGUAGCGUAAUCACUUGUUCUUUAAAUGAGGACUAGUAUGAAUGGCACCACGAGGGUUAUACUGUCUCCUUUUUUUAAUCAAUGAAACUGAUCUCCCCGUGAAGAAGCGGGGAUAAAUUUAUAAGACGAGAAGACCCUAUGGAGCUUUAAACAAUUAUAGCACUGGCCCACACCUCUUAUUCUUCUGAGAUAUAAUUAUUAUACAGGCCAACAUGACUAUUAGUUUUAGGUUGGGGUGACCGCGGAGCAAAAAUUAACCUCCACGUUGAACGGAGCUACUCCUGAGCUAAAAACUACAACUUUAAGCACCAAUAAACUGACAUCAAUUGACCCAAUAUAUUGAACAACGAAC